RNAcentral lists this long non-coding RNA (2853 nucleotides) under Mus musculus (house mouse). RNAcentral's name for it is "long non-coding RNA chr9:68744969-68747822". The record is from RNAcentral. Lineage: Eukaryota; Metazoa; Chordata; Mammalia; Rodentia; Muridae.
GGCCUAGAGCUGGAGUUACAGAUGAUAUAUAAAAAGCAACUGCGUGAACUUGAGGGAGGUGCAUACAUGGAAGAGGUUGGAGGGAGGAGAGGAUAGAAGAGGUGGUAUAGUUACCUUAUGAUUCCAAAAACUAAAAAAGAAAAAAAAAUUAUAAAAAAAAAAGUGAAAAAAGCUUUGCCUUGGUCUGGCAUGGUACAGUCAGUGUUCUGUGAAUGUAUGUGCUUGCUGGUGGUUACAUUUAUAGCAAAACAACUGAGAAUGUGCAAAAGAAGUCUGAGAAGUGCCAAGUGGUGGCCUCCAGCCCCCAGCAGAACAUUCUGGGGUGGGAAGAGCCUCCGAUAAGUUAGCGUCCUUCCCGGCCCUCGUUUCUUAGCUCUGGUUUAAAUUUGGAAUGUUUUAUGGAUGUGAGUGUUUGGCCUGGAUGUGUGUCUGAGCACCACAUGCGUACCCAGUGUCAUCAGAAGCCAGAAUAGGGAACUGGAUCCCCUGGUACUGGAGAAACUGGAGUUACUAUGAGCUGUCUAUUGUGGGUGCUGGGAAUUGCAUUCAGGUCCUGUAUAAGAGCAACUAGUGCUCUUAGCUGCUGAGCCAUCUCUCCAGCCACUUUUGUUAUAUUUUAAAAGGAAACUUGAGAGAUGGAGCUAAGAAUUUCAGGGCAAACAAAGCUUCUGGGGAGGGCAUCUUUAAUUUUUUUCUUGUAAUUUAUUUAUUUAGUUUUUGGGUUUGAAUUCUAGAUUUUUUUUUUGAUACACUCUGACACUUGUGGUUUCCUGGUGCUUGUUGUCAUAUUAAAGGUAAGUCCUAAAAAGAAAUCCUAGGGUCUGGAGAGGUGUCUCAUCGGUCAAGAGCACUGACUGCUCUUCCAGAGGUCCUGAGUUCCAUUCCUAGCAACCACAUGGCGACUCACAACCAUCUGUAAUGGAGAUCCAAUCCAAUGCCCUCUUCUGAUGUGUUUGAAGACAGUGAUAAUGUACUCAUAUACGUAAAAUAACAAUAAAUCUUAAACAACAACAACAAAGCCUAGACCUACUGGACUUUGUGAAGUCCAGUAUUAGCUAAACAUUUAUUCUGUAUGUGUGUAUUGUGUGGGGGUAGAAUUCUUCUACCAACCAAAGCAUUGUGUAGCAUCUUGGUGACCCCAGGGUGCCAUGGAACAUAGCCAAGGCUAUGCAGAGCAAGCCCCUCUGUAUGUGCUCCAUGAUCACACUUUCCUGUGCUUGGGAGGUGUCCUGCUAAUGGCAGUUCAAAGGGACCUGGAUUUCUUGAAGUAUUAAAACUCACACACCUCAUCAAAGGAUUUCCAGAGAUCACUCUUAAAACCGGCAGGCAAGGCACACAGAGCCGUUUCUGGAUGGUCUUCUUUCCCUGGGGGCUCACGCUGGCCAACCUGCCUCCGUGGAGUUUCUGUAUGUGUGGCGUCUAAAAACCUCUGAAAAUCGUUAUUCACAGCUCAUUCAGCACACGAAGAACCAUCUCGCUCCAUCCCACGUCUAUGUGAGUCACUUUUUAAAGUGCUUUUAAAAAAAAAACUGUCUCAUGCACAUAGAUAAUUAGAGAGGGGGGAAAAACAAGUAAAAAUAAAUCGUGUUGUUGAAUUUAAAAGCCCAAAUGAAUCUUAAAUACCAAAUACAUAUGUUUCUCACUUUCUUGGCUCACCAAGAACUGGCCACCUUUGCUCUAAUCCUACUCCAAGCAUGGGUGGUGGCAGUUUCCCUCAACCAUAAGUGGUUGAUUUAGGAAGAGCAUGCCAAAAAUAAAGAUAAUCUCGUAUUCAAUUUCCCAAAUUGCUCAAUGUAAAUAAAGCCCAGAGAGGCCUGCAGUAGGCCGAUGUUGCAGGUUACCAGCCCAGUGUAUGUCUCUUUCUAGGCUAAUAACUUGUCAUCUCGGACAAUGAUGUCCCAGUUUAUAUGGUUCUCCUUGAAGACUGUCACCCCCCCAGAAAUGGGAUGCCUAAAGUUAUUUGUUAUUUUUGAGUGCAUUUACUGAUUGGUAUUUAUAUUGGAAUGGGAAACUUAUUAUUGCCUAUUAUUUCAUCAUUAAAUUUAAUGUAUGAAAUGUGUGAUUUUAUAGCUAUCCAUUACCACGUUAAUUUAAUGCAAUGCAAAUUGAUUGUUCAGCAAGCGUGGCAUGCGUGUAAGCAUACAUUUCAAAUUUUAAAAUGCUAAGUUCAGUUUAGCUCUGUUUUGAGGGGUGGUCCUUUUAUCUGUUUCAAUGUAAGAUCAUGUGUCUGGUCUGAGCCCCACUAUCACUAGGUACCCAUUGCCUGUUCUACUGUCCCUCAGUUUACCUGUCCCCCACUGUUCCAAUGGGCCUGAUCUCUGCUUUCCUGGUCUCUUUAAAAGAAGCUUUAGGAAUUAAAUGUCUAGCUGCAUGGUUUUACGAUUUGCUGAUCUCUCUCUCUCUCUCUCUCUCUCUCUCUCUCUCUCUAUCUGUGUGUGUGUGUGUGUCUGUCUGUCUGUCUGUCUGUCUGUCUGACUGUAUGAGCGUGUCUGUGUGUGUCUGUAUGUAUGUGUGUCUCUGUAUGCCUGUCUGUAUGUAUGUCCAUGUGUAUGUCUGUCUGUAUGUGUGUGUCUGUGUGUGUGUGUGUGUGAUUUAAGGAGGCAGUACAAGUCUCUGACAUUGCAAUUUUGAGAAUAGCAUCCAAGCAUGAGAAAACUCUCUCUCACACUUGGGUAUUAUUCUCACCCUUUGGGGAACAAGAUAGGCUUCAUCAGUAGGCUGUGUCUGCACUUGCUGUAAGUGGAAAAUAUCAUACUAUUUCUACAGAGUUAUGAUAGAAACUGGUAACAGUAAAAACAUUUUUUGUUAAAGCAAACAUUUAACAGGAACAUUUGGUAAAAACAAAACAAUAUC